CUUUGCUGCUCCGCGUUUUUCGGUUUGUUUGAAGUAAAAAGUGUUUAAAUCCUCGAAAAUAUCAUCGUUCAUCGCAGUACAAAGUGCGGUUUUGUAUGUACGCAUGUAAUUUUAACAGAACACAUGUAAGUGCCUCCCAAAUCGGAUGAGAAUGGGAAGCGAGCCAGGAAAGCAAAAAAAUCACGCGCCAUUUCUUAGCUGCUCAAUGUUUUUCGGUUUACAUAAAGUAAAAAGUGUUUAAAUCCUCAAAAAUAUGUUCGCGUGUAAAUUCUACAAAACACAUAGAAUCGCCACUGAUUUGAGCACUUCGCGUUGUUCUCGCACUGGCGUUGUAAAAGAGAUGGAAUCCAGCGAAAGAGCAACCUGACGAUCGAACCCUCCUGCAUCACCUGAGCAGCAGGUCGCCCCAUCCGGAGGAGAGGAAUAACUCUGGAUAGACUGUGGCAGCCACUGAUGCCUCUGCUGUGUCGCUGAAUCGACAAGGUGGGGCUCCGUCCGCUGCAGUGGGGACCAGUGAUCAACGGCGGAGCUGUUGGUUCACGUCCACGGGAAAUACUGUCAGCCACCCACCAUUCAUACCCCGCCGAAUCAAAAGCUGGGCUUCAGCUUUGAGACGCAGGAUGUACCGUACACUUUGCCACAAACCGAGUCGUAUAGGAUUUCCCCCCGCCAGACAUAGUCCUAUCCAAGCCAGACAGAGACGUAUGCGAACCUAACAAGCCAGUGUCAUCCUUCGACUUGGCCAUCGAAAACAAGGACUUUGACUAUGGUAACCAAGGGAGGGGCAACGCGGGCUACUUGAGUCUAGAUAAAUCUCACUGUUAUUAGGUUUAAGGAUAUAUGCGUCCAUUCAUUAAGAUAGUGGAUACAAAUGUUUUCCACUUGUUUAUUUAUUUAUACUAAGCUAAGUUUUAAUGAAUAAACCUAUUUCAAAAUCA
Long non-coding RNA from Drosophila miranda, 938 nucleotides. RefSeq lists it as uncharacterized. Lineage: Eukaryota; Metazoa; Arthropoda; Insecta; Diptera; Drosophilidae. The transcript is spliced from 4 exons. The record is from RefSeq and is a predicted model, not a curated record.